GUGAAUCAUCAAAUCUUUGAACGCAAAUUGCGCUUCCUAGCAUCCCGGGAAGUAUGCCUGUUUGAGGGUCAGUAUUAACAAAAAAAUCGGUUUGGUUGCAAAUUGUGACGUUUCCGGAGUUUGGGCUAUCUUAACUUUUUUGGUUAAGGGGCUUGAAAUUGACCUUUUUUGCGCAUUUUUAGACGUACAUAAAUUUUUUUUUUUAUUCGUCUAUUCUUAUUCCCAAAUUUUAAUAAGAUGCAA
RNAcentral lists this unclassified non-coding RNA (243 nucleotides) under Glomeraceae sp. RNAcentral describes it as "partial contains 5.8S ribosomal RNA and internal transcribed spacer 2". The stretch from base 1 to 71 matches the Rfam family "5.8S ribosomal RNA", at positions 84 to 154 of the family's 154-position model. The record is from RNAcentral. Lineage: Eukaryota; Fungi; Glomeromycota; Glomeromycetes; Glomerales; Glomeraceae.